RNAcentral lists this ribosomal RNA (513 nucleotides) under uncultured eukaryote. RNAcentral's name for it is "bacterial SSU rRNA". It matches the Rfam family "Eukaryotic small subunit ribosomal RNA", at positions 21 to 549 of the family's 1831-position model. The record is from RNAcentral.
UAGUCAUAUGCUUGUUUCAACGACUAAGCCAUGCAUGUCUAAGUAUAAGCACUUGUACUGUGAAACUGCGAAUGGCUCAUUAAAUCAGUGAUCGUUUAUUUGAUAGUACCUUACUACAUGGAUAACCGUGGUAAUUCUAGAGCUAAUACAUGCAGCAAACCGGUUCCGGUUGUAUUUAUUAGAUACAAAACCAAUGCCGCAAGGCCGUGGUGAUUCAUAAUAACUGUUCGGAUCGUAUGGCCGUGUGCCGACGACGUGUCAUUCAAAUUUCUGCCCUAUCAAGUUUCGAUGGUAGGAUAGAGGCCUACCAUGCUUGUCACGGGUAACGGGGAAUUAGGGUUCGAUUCCGGAGAGCGAGCCUGAGAAACGGCUAGCACAUCCAAGGAAGGCAGCAGGCGCGCAAAUUACCCAAUCCCAACACGGGGAGGUAGGAACAAAAAAUAGCAAUGCAGGGCUCUACGAGUCUUUGCAAUUGGAAUGAGUACAAUCUAAACCACUUAACGAGUAACGAUU